AUUGAACGCUGGCGGCAGGCCUAACACAUGCAAGUCGAGCGGAUGACGGGAGCUUGCUCCUUGAUUCAGCGGCGGACGGGUGAGUAAUGCCUAGGAAUCUGCCUGGUAGUGGGGGACAACGUUUCGAAAGGAACGCUAAUACCGCAUACGUCCUACGGGAGAAAGCAGGGGACCUUCGGGCCUUGCGCUAUCAGAUUAGCCUAGGUCGGAUUAGCUAGUUGGUGGGGUAAUGGCUCACCAAGGCGACGAUCCGUAACUGGUCUGAGAGGAUGAUCAGUCACGCUGGAACUGAGACACGGUCCAGACUCCUCAGGGAGGCAGCAGUGGGGAAUAUUGGACAAUGGGCAAAAGCCUGAUCCAGCCAUGCCGCGUGUGUGAAGAAGGUCUUCGGAUUGUAAAGCACUUUAAGUUGGGAGGAAGGGCAGUAAGUUAAUACCUUGCUGUUUUGACGUUACCGACAGAAUAAGCACCGGCUAACUCUGUGCCAGCCGCCGCUGUAA
RNAcentral lists this ribosomal RNA (500 nucleotides) under uncultured bacterium. RNAcentral describes it as "partial 16S ribosomal RNA". It matches the Rfam family "Bacterial small subunit ribosomal RNA", at positions 30 to 523 of the family's 1533-position model. The record is from RNAcentral.